GACGAACGCUGGCGGCGUGCUUAACACAUGCAAGUCGUACGGUAAGGCCCUUUCGGGGGUACACGAGUGGCGAACGGGUGAGUAACACGUGAGUAACCUGCCCACAACUUUGGGAUAACGCUAGGAAACUGGUGCUAAUACUGGAUAUGUGCUCCUGCUGCAUGGUGGGGGUUGGAAAGCUCCGGCGGUUGUGGAUGGACUCGCGGCCUAUCAGCUUGUUGGUGGGGUAGUGGCCUACCAAGGCGGCGACGGGUAGCCGGCCUGAGAGGGUGACCGGCCACAGUGGGACUGAGAUACGGCCCAGACUCCUACGGGAGGCAGCAGUGGGGAAGAUUGCACCAGGGGCGCAAGCCUGAUGCAGCAACGCCGCGUGCGGGAUGACGGCCUUCGGGUUGUAAAACGCUUUCAGCAGGGACGAAGCUUUUUGUGACGGUACCUGCAGAAGAAGCACCGGCUAACUACGUG
RNAcentral lists this ribosomal RNA (465 nucleotides) under uncultured bacterium. RNAcentral's name for it is "partial 16S ribosomal RNA". It matches the Rfam family "Bacterial small subunit ribosomal RNA", at positions 28 to 507 of the family's 1533-position model. The record is from RNAcentral.